CAUAAAUAAUUGUUGUUUGUGGAAGAUUAAUGUAUAAUUACUGUGUGUUCUUCAUCUUCUUAUGUAUAAUUAUAUGUGUUUAACGUUUGCUAAUGAUGUAUAAUAUUUUUGGAAUAAUAUUAUCUUAUGUUAAUUCCUUUUUUGUCUCAGAAAUGGACAUUACAAAUGGAACAUCAACCAAGAUCAAUACUAAAGAUUUUUGUAUACCAGAUAGUGGAAAAACGUACACUAUUCUGAAACACAUAAAAUAUUUUUCUGAACUAAAACCGACAAAUAUCGCUGU
Molecule: long non-coding RNA, 283 nt
Filed under: Brassica napus (rape)
Lineage: Eukaryota; Viridiplantae; Streptophyta; Magnoliopsida; Brassicales; Brassicaceae
Description: long non-coding RNA (BNAP_LNC020111)
Source: RNAcentral